UUGCACAAUGGGCGCAAGCCUGAUGCAGCAACGCCGCGUGAGGGACGAAGGCCUUCGGGUUGUAAACCUCUUUUAGUAGGGAAGAAGCGACUGGGUUUUCCUGGGAGUGACGGUACCUGCAGAAAAAGCACCGGCUAACUACGUGCCAGCAGCCGCGGUAAUACGUAUGGUGCAAGCGUUGUCCGGAAUUAUUGGGCGUAAAGAGCUCGUAGGCGGUUUGUCGCGUCUGCUGUGAAAACCCGAGGCUCAACCUCGGGCCUGCAGUGGGUACGGGCAGACUAGAGUGCGGUAGGGGAGAUUGGAAUUCCUGGUGUAGCGGUGGAAUGCGCAGAUAUCAGGAGGAACACCAAUGGCGAAGGCAGAUCUCUGGGCCGUAACUGACGCUGAGGAGCGAAAGCAUGGGGAGCGAACAGGAUUAGAUACCCUGGUAGUCCAUGCCGUAAACGUUGGGAACUAGAUGUGGGGACCAUUCCACGGUCUCCGUGUCGCAGCUAACGCAUUAAGUUCCCCGCCUGGGGAGUACGGCCGCAAGGCUAAAACUCAAAGGAAUUGACGGGGGCCCGCACAAGCGGCGGAGCAUGCGGAUUAAUUCGAUGCAACGCGAAGAACCUUACCAAGGCUUGACAUAUACCGGAAACGGCUGGAAACAGUCGCCCCGCAAGGUCGGUAUACAGGUGGUGCAUGGUUGUCGUCAGCUCGUGUCGUGAGAUGUUGGGUUAAGUCCCGCAACGAGCGCAACCCUCGUCCUAUGUUGCCAGCACGUAAUGGUGGGAACUCAUGGGAUACUGCCGGGGUCAACUCGGAGGAAGGUGGGGAUGACGUCAAAUUAUCAUGCCCCUUAUGUCUUGGGCUUCACGCAUGCUACAAUGGCCGGUACAAAGGGCUGCGAUACCGCAAGGUGGAGCGAAUCCCAAAAAGCCGGUCUCAGUUCGGAUUGAGGUCUGCAAUUCGACCUCAUGAAGUCGGAGUCGCUAGUAAUCGCAGAUCAGCGACGCUGCGGUGAAAACGUUCCCGGGCCUUGUACACACCG
This 1030-nucleotide ribosomal RNA is filed under the name uncultured Cryobacterium sp. RNAcentral describes it as "bacterial SSU rRNA". It matches the Rfam family "Bacterial small subunit ribosomal RNA", at positions 364 to 1392 of the family's 1533-position model. Lineage: Bacteria; Bacillati; Actinomycetota; Actinomycetes; Micrococcales; Microbacteriaceae. The record is from RNAcentral.